CCAGACUCCUACGGAGGCAGCAGUGAGGAAUAUUGGUCAAUGGGCUAAGGCCUGAACCAGCCAAGUCGCGUGAGGGAAGACGGUCCUAUGGAUUGUAAACCUCUUUUGUCAGGGAGCAAGGUGCAGGUCGGGACCUGCUGUGAGAGUACCUGAAGAAAAAGCAUCGGCUAACUCCGUGCCAGCAGCCGCGGUAAUACGGAGGAUGCGAGCGUUAUCCGGAUUUAUUGGGUUUAAAGGGUGCGUAGGCGGGCAUUUAAGCCGGCGGUCAAAUGUCGGGGCUCAACCCCGGCCUGCCGUCGGAACUGGGUGCCUUGAGUGGGCGAGAAGUAUGCGGAAUGCGUGGUGUAGCGGUGAAAUGCAUAGAUAUCACGCAGAACUCCGAUUGCGAAGGCAGCAUACCGGCGCUCAACUGACGCUCAUGCACGAAAGCGUGGGUAUCGAACAGGAUUAGAUACCCUGGUAU
RNAcentral lists this ribosomal RNA (463 nucleotides) under uncultured bacterium. RNAcentral describes it as "bacterial SSU rRNA". It matches the Rfam family "Bacterial small subunit ribosomal RNA", at positions 331 to 793 of the family's 1533-position model. The record is from RNAcentral.